GAGCUGUGUGCGAGUAUUGGGGCAGUUUGGGGCUGUUUUUCCUUUUCGGAGCUCCCGGUUUAUUGCCAAAGCGAAGCGUAAAACACACAUAAACAAACCCAAUGCCCCAUCCCUCUGCAAUGGGGACAUGGUGGGGACCCCUCUGCUGUGUGACACCCUGAUGCCCGUACAGCCUGCUCCGUGCAGACGUGAAUGGCAAAUGUGGAUGCAAAGUAGAUGAUUCCCCAGGAUUAACGCUGCAGCUCGAGCCUGCAAAAUGUAUGCGGGAGCCGUCUUUGGAGCGAGAUCGCUUAAACCUAAGCCUGCUUUAAGCUGGGUGCACUCGUGCAGCACUCACACACAGCACCACCCCUGCCAUGCUGCAAGGCCAAAGCUGCACCUAGCCCUGCUCUGCAGUUCUGGUGCACCUCAAAGCAUCUUGGUGCACCUCAGAGCUCCUUGUUGCAUCCCAGUGCGUAGGCGCGUUCCUGAUUGAUCUGGAAGCAGCAGCUCGGUGUGAGGGAAGGAGUCUAUACACACCGCAACAGCUCUUUAAUUUCUUAAUUUAAUAUCUGACACGUAAAGAUUCUCAUUAAGCCAGUCAAUGAAGCCUGGAAAUACAAUUUUCGUGCAAACUGUCGCUAUCAUAACUUACACGAAACUUCAGCUGGUGCCCUGUGAGCGGCGUGAUUAAAACCAUUCAUCUUCCCUGUCAGCCUCCCGUCACCGCACCACCCGUGCCACCGCCGCUGGGUGCUGGGUGUGGGGUGCACAGUACCCACACUUGGGGGGCACGGGCAGCCGUGGCAUCACCCAGUAGGAUGGAGGUGGUUGAGAGAGCUGCCCAAAGUGUGC
This 834-nucleotide long non-coding RNA is filed under the name Gallus gallus (chicken). RNAcentral's name for it is "lncRNA (ENSGALG00010012505.1)". Lineage: Eukaryota; Metazoa; Chordata; Aves; Galliformes; Phasianidae. The record is from RNAcentral.